GCUGAAUCCUAGUAGAAUGUCUUGCUGCAGACAUAAGAGUGACAGUAGGUGCAGGCUACAGCAAGUUUACCAUCAUUUCAAUCAUUUCAUUUUUGAAGAACCAUGCUGAAAGCCCGAAAUACAUUGUGCACACUGAAAAUUACCAAGGUCUCGUUGUCUCUCACUCAAAGCUUGAAGCAAGUUCCUCAACUAUUUCAAAAGGCCCAAACAUUCUUCAGAUUUGCUGACCUUUCUAGUGGCUGUCAACUUUUGGCUUUCAAACUCAAAAUAGGUGUACAAAGAUGCAUCCAUCUCUAUCUCUCAUACUUAAAAUACGUGUGCAGGUUCAGCACCUUUGAAGCCAACCUCUUC
This 351-nucleotide ribosomal RNA is filed under the name Triticum aestivum (bread wheat). RNAcentral describes it as "partial small subunit ribosomal RNA". The record is from RNAcentral. Lineage: Eukaryota; Viridiplantae; Streptophyta; Magnoliopsida; Poales; Poaceae.